Long non-coding RNA from Caretta caretta (loggerhead turtle), 1705 nucleotides. RefSeq lists it as uncharacterized. Lineage: Eukaryota; Metazoa; Chordata; Testudines; Cheloniidae. The record is from RefSeq and is a predicted model, not a curated record.
UAAAGGGAAGGGUAAACCCCUUUGAAAUCCCUCCUGGCCAGGGGAAAGCUCCUCUCACCUGUAAAGGGUUAAGAAGCUAAAGGUAACCUCGCUGGCACCUGACCAAAAUGACCAAUGAGGAGACAAGAUACUUUCAAAAGCUGGGAGGAGGGAGAGAAACAAAGGGUCUGUGUCUGUCUGUAGUCGUCUUGGCCGGGGAUAGACCAGGAAUGGAGUCUUAGAACUUUUACAUCAUGUUAUGAAACAGGUGAAAGAAUCUGAUUGGCUAAGGAAGAUUUCUACAAAUAUGGACCCAUCCUAAGCAACUAUAUUCAAGCAACCAUGAGGUGCACAACUGGUUUUCGCAUUCUCUUGGGAUAACAUGCUGGUCGUGGUACAGUUGUGUCCUGACCAACAGGAACAUUUGGUGGUAAGGAAUCAACUGGAUCUGGUACAGCAUCUACUGGAUCUGAUGUAGGGAGAUGUGGAUCCUUUUUUCAGAUGGGAAAUUCCAAGAAGAAACAUUAGCCCCUGUCAGAAGAUAAGAGUAGAUCGUUAAAUAGCAGAUGCAGAUGUGCCCUUGAUGAUCUCCCACACUCCCACAGAUGUGCCCUUGAUGAUCUCCCACACUCCCACAGAUGUGCCCUUGAUGGUCUCCCACAGCAGCUGAGUGCCUCACUCAGAUAGGGAAAAGAAAUUGGAGGAGUAAAUAGACAUGUUCAAGGAUGUGCUGCAGUCUCCUGGUGCUUGAGAUUAUGAGCAGAGAGCCUGGAGGGAGGCAAUAGUGCGGAAUUGCAGAGGGAUAGUGAGGAUAGGAAACUGGGGCAGGAACAGAUGAUAACGCUGCUUGGGGAGCAAACAGACAGGAUGCGGUUCCUGAUUGAACUUCAGGCUGAACACAUCCAUGUCCAUCUCCCACUGAAGCCCAUACAGAACUGCCUUCCUGCACCUCCCCCCUGAUUCUUCAUUUUCUCAGGAGCCUCAGCAGUACCCCAAGCACACCACCCUGAGGCAGGGGUGAAAGUAAGUUAAAGGACUUACCGGUACGCCGGAGUCCUGAGCAGGGGCCGUGGGUUCAACCGGAAGAGGCAGGGCCUUAAAUCCCCGGGCCCUUUAAAUCUUGAUUUAAAGGGCCCAGGGCUCCAGCUGCAGUAGUGACGGCUGGGAGCCCCAGGCCUUUUAAAUCACCCCCGAGCUGCCAGCUGCAGAGGCGGCUGGGAGCCCCAGGGCUCAGGGGCGAUUUAAAGGGCCCCAGGCUCCAGCUGCAACUACCGAAGUGGAGCCCCGAGCCCUUUAAAUCACUAAGGAGCCCUGGGGACUCCUGGCUGGCACUGCUACCCCGGGGCUCUGGCAGAGCUUUAAAGGGCCUGGGGCUCCACUGUGGUAGCGGCGGCUGGAGCCCCGGGGCCCUUUAAAUACCCACCGGAGGCCCGUCGCUGCUACCCCAGGGCUUUAAAUUGCCAUCUGGGGAAGCCGGUCCCGGUACGGCGCACCGGCUCUUGCCGGUAUGCCGUACUGGGGCGUACCAGCUUACUGUCACCUCUGCCCUGAGGGAAGUUUCACACAAUGAUACCUGGACACACACCCAGCUGUGUGUCCUCAUUGGCAAAUGUGCUUGUGAAUUUCCUAUUCUGUCCCCUUUAAAGAUGCUUCCCCCUGUCUGUAUGAUGUGUAGGUUACCCAUUAGUUCAUGGGUGUGGAAUAAAACUGAACUUUUGGAACGUGA